UGACGGGGACCCGCGCAAGCGGUGGAUGAUGUGGUUUAAUUCGAUGCAACGCGAAAAACCUUACCUACCCUUGACAUGGCAGGAAUCCUGAAGAGAUUUGGGAGUGCUCGAAAGAGAACCUGCACACAGGUGCUGCAUGGCCGUCGUCAGCUCGUGUCGUGAGAUGUUGGGUUAAGUCCCGCAACGAGCGCAACCCUUGUCAUUAGUUGCUACGAAAGGGCACUCUAAUGAGACUGCCGGUGACAAACCGGAGGAAGGUGGGGAUGACGUCAAGUCCUCAUGGCCCUUAUAGGUGGGGCUACACACGUCAUACAAUGGCCGGUACAAAGGGCAGCCAACCCGCGAGGGGGGGCCAAUCCCAUAAAGCCGGUCGUAGUCCGGAUCGUAGUCUGCAACUCGACUGCGUGAAGUCGGAAUCGCUAGUAAUCGCGGAUCAGCUUGCCGCGGUGAAUACGUUCCCGGGUCUUGUACACACCGCCCGUCACACCAUGGGAGCGGGUUCUGCCAGAAGUAGUUAGCCUAACCGUAAGGAGGGCGAUUGCCACGGCAGGGUUCAUGACUGGGGUGAAGUCGUAACAAGGUAACCA
This 587-nucleotide ribosomal RNA is filed under the name uncultured bacterium. Its description in RNAcentral is "bacterial SSU rRNA". It matches the Rfam family "Bacterial small subunit ribosomal RNA", at positions 911 to 1502 of the family's 1533-position model. The record is from RNAcentral.